Molecule: non-coding RNA, 123 nt
Organism: Labrus bergylta (ballan wrasse)
Lineage: Eukaryota; Metazoa; Chordata; Actinopteri; Labriformes; Labridae
Source: RefSeq, a predicted model, not a curated record
AUCUUCAGGAGCCAAAGCCAAGAGGAACCCAGAGGGACAAAUCCCCUGGACCAAGUUCUGCAAGAGUGCGAACGAGAAAGCGUAUUCCUUCUGGUUGUGGAUCGAAGGAAUCCUGGAUGUGAU